This 220-nucleotide ribosomal RNA is filed under the name uncultured bacterium. RNAcentral's name for it is "partial 16S ribosomal RNA". It matches the Rfam family "Bacterial small subunit ribosomal RNA", at positions 57 to 305 of the family's 1533-position model. The record is from RNAcentral.
GCAAGUCGAGCGCUCACUUCGGUGGGAGCGGCGGACGGGUUAGUAACGCGUGGGAAUAUACCCAAAGGUAGGGAAUAGCCUCUGGAAACGGAGAGUAAUACCCUAUGUGCCCUUCGGGGGAAAGAUUUAUCGCCUUUGGAUUAGCCCGCGUUGGAUUAGGGAGUUGGGGAGGUAAUGGAGCACCAAGCCUACGAUCCAGAGCUGGUUGGAGAGGAUGAUC